GGAGGUCUAGCUCAGUGGUAGAGUGUGUGCUUAGCACGCACGAGGUCCUGGGUUCCAUUCCUGGCACCCCCA
RNAcentral lists this transfer RNA (72 nucleotides) under Camelus ferus (Wild Bactrian camel). It matches the Rfam family "tRNA". Rfam says of the family: Transfer RNA (tRNA) molecules are approximately 80 nucleotides in length. Their secondary structure includes four short double-helical elements and three loops (D, anti-codon, and T loops). The record is from Rfam by way of RNAcentral. Lineage: Eukaryota; Metazoa; Chordata; Mammalia; Artiodactyla; Camelidae.